CCAAACUUGGUCAUUUAGAGGAAGUAAAAGUCGUAACAAGGUUUCCGUAGGUGAACCUGCGGAAGGAUCAUUAUUGAAGCAAAAAUAUAUAGUCUUGGAUUUGUAAAAGAAUCCCAAGCUAUUUAUAUUCUUCUACAAACCCACUGUGAACCAAUUAAGAGACUAAAGUAUAUCCUUCACAGGGUUACUUCUGUUUCGCUUUAAUCGGACAGAAUACAUGUAGUGUGUAUACUGGUCGAGGACGAACCAAUUUGUUUUGGUCGGCCGAAUUACCUUUUUUUUAAAUUCAAAAAGAUGAAGAGAAUGACAAGAAAUUUGAUAAACAAAUUAAAACUUUCAGUGACGGAUCUCUUGGCUCUCGCAUCGAUGAAGAACGCAGC
Molecule: unclassified non-coding RNA, 380 nt
Filed under: uncultured fungus
Lineage: Eukaryota; Fungi
Description: partial contains small subunit ribosomal RNA, internal transcribed spacer 1, and 5.8S ribosomal RNA
Rfam family: Eukaryotic small subunit ribosomal RNA (bases 1-73)
Source: RNAcentral